This 440-nucleotide ribosomal RNA is filed under the name uncultured bacterium. RNAcentral describes it as "partial 16S ribosomal RNA". It matches the Rfam family "Bacterial small subunit ribosomal RNA", at positions 338 to 795 of the family's 1533-position model. The record is from RNAcentral.
CCUACGGGUGGCAGCAGUGGGGAAUAUUGCACAAUGGGGGAAACCCUGAUGCAGCGAAGCCGCGUGAGUGAAGAAGUAUCUCGGUACGUAAAGCUCUAUCAGCAGGGAAGAAAAUGACGGUACCUGACUAAGAAGCCCCGGAUAACUACGUGCCAGCAGCCGCGGUAAUACGUAGGGGGCCAGCGUUAUACGGAUUUACUGGGUGUAAAGGGAGCGUAGACGGGAGCACAAGUCUGGAGUUAAAUCCCGGGGCUUAACCCCGGAACUGCUUUGGAAACUGUGCGGCUGGAGUGCAGGAGGGGUAUGCGGAAUGCGUGGUGUAGCGGUGAAAUGCGUAGAUAUUAGGAGGAACUCCGGUGGCGAAGGCGGCUUACUGGACUGUAACUGACGUUGAGGCUCGAAAGCGUGGGUAGCAAACAGGAUUAGAUACCCCAGUAGUC